UGAUUGUCAUGACAGUAUUGCACCACGUGU
RNAcentral lists this non-coding RNA (30 nucleotides) under Mus musculus (house mouse). Lineage: Eukaryota; Metazoa; Chordata; Mammalia; Rodentia; Muridae. The record is from RNAcentral.